AAGGGAUUAGUUUAUAAAAAUAAUUGAAUGUCAAUCUUUAGAUACUAAUUUAGUAUCCCUUG
Molecule: transfer RNA, 62 nt
Filed under: Phytomastax pentaspinula
Lineage: Eukaryota; Metazoa; Arthropoda; Insecta; Orthoptera; Eumastacidae
Description: tRNA-Asp
Source: RNAcentral